RNAcentral lists this long non-coding RNA (663 nucleotides) under Panax ginseng (ginseng). RNAcentral describes it as "long non-coding RNA (PGIN_LNC003905)". The record is from RNAcentral. Lineage: Eukaryota; Viridiplantae; Streptophyta; Magnoliopsida; Apiales; Araliaceae.
CACUCUUAAUGCACCAAACCAAUUCAUUUAUCCUGUUACAAUCAUGUGGCUUACAUCGUCAUCAACUUCUCCCUCCUUAUUCAUGUACUAUUGAUCCAAAGUACUAAAAUACAUCCGUCUUGAUUAUAUUGUAUUUCGCCAUAUACACAAUCCAUGCAUCUCUUAUCAUCAAAAAUACAUGAACAACAGGAGCAAAAACCUUAUAACCAGAGAACCCACCUAAGAAGGGACUUUUUCAUAAACAGAUCAUGGGCAUCCAUUUUCCUAGAAAUAACACCCUUAGUUGAGAAUUCAUUUACCUCCUGCAUAGAAAAUCCAUGAGCAGAGAUGAAUUCGACCUAAGAUUGGUUCUUUUUUCAUUUAUCAACAACAUCAAGUUGGUCUUGACGAGAGAAAUGUUGGGCAACCUUAAAAAAAUUUUGCAUAUCCGAGUGAAAGCAUACCUAUGUUCGCAUUCAUAAUGAUAUUUGCAUCAGAUUCAAUUGAAUCAGAAAAGAGAAUUAGCGGCAGAGCCUCCGAUUUAACCAUUUUAGGAGUUUCCUUCAGAUAAGUGCAAAUGACUAACCAUGAGGGGAAAGAAGAUGAGGGCCAGAGAAAAGGGAAAAGGAAGGGAAACAGAGCGGAGAAAAGGAAACAAUUGAUAGGUGAUGGGGGGUAUAAUCA